AUAUAAUUGGAAGUGUUUACAAUGGGAUUUGCUGUGUUCUGUGGCCUGAGGACAGCACAGUUUGCCACUGGAAGUGUUUUUGCAAUGGGGUGAUGGAGAGGAGUCGCAUUCUCCUUGACCUGCUGAGGACAAAGAAAGAAAGAUGCACUUAUAAGCGCCUGCACGCUGUUCUCCCGGGAGUGACACAUUUGGACACGUGGAAGUCGCAGGAUAAGAAGCUGGGUGGUUAAGUACAUGUGUUUGAAUGUUUUUUUAAAUUAAAAGGUAGAAAUAUUGUAUGGCAUUUCUUUGUGAACUUGCAAAAUGAUAAACGGCAAUUCAAAAAACGUCAACAUAGCAAAUCCACCUAAUUUAAUAAGUCAAAAUUUCCAGUUAUACAUUAACUGCUUAAAGGAUUUUCAAUAUCUUAUUAGAAAUUGUACAAUCUACUUUGUCCUCAGCAUUUGAAUACGGUCAGCACUCAGAUAUUCAUCACAUUUUAACAGCCUUUUAUAUUAAGAAUAAAAUCAAUCCCCAUUUGUGACGGACAGAGAAUGAAUCCUAGUCAACAAUCU
Long non-coding RNA from Polyodon spathula (Mississippi paddlefish), 554 nucleotides. RefSeq lists it as uncharacterized. The transcript has 3 exons. The record is from RefSeq and is a predicted model, not a curated record. Lineage: Eukaryota; Metazoa; Chordata; Actinopteri; Acipenseriformes; Polyodontidae.